This 229-nucleotide long non-coding RNA is filed under the name Setaria viridis. Its description in RNAcentral is "long non-coding RNA (SVIR_LNC010866)". The record is from RNAcentral. Lineage: Eukaryota; Viridiplantae; Streptophyta; Magnoliopsida; Poales; Poaceae.
UCCAUCAUCAAGACUCGCAACAUAGGGAACAACUCUAAUCAAAAUACUAAAAAACCAAUCUGGAUUAUCCCUAACAAAGAUAAAGCGAUGAACUGAGUUAGAGUUCAAUCUAACAUUAGUUCCUUUAUGCAUAGUGCAACAGCAAAGAAUGAAAAGAUGGUCUAAGAAAUAUAAAUUACCCAACAGUGCUGUCCUUCAAGCUGGGGCACAACCCUCUACUGCCCACUCC